UCCUACGGGAGGCAGCAGUAGGGAAUAUUGGUCAAUGGACGCAAGUCUGAACCAGCCAUGCCGCGUGCAGGAUGAAGGCGCUCUGCGUUGUAAACUGCUUUUGUACGGGAAGAAUAUAUCGUUUGCGAACGGUUUUGACGGUACCGUAAGAAUAAGGAUCGGCUAACUACGUGCCAGCAGCCGCGGUAAUACGUAGGAUCCAAGCGUUGUCCGGAUUUAUUGGGUUUAAAGGGUGCGCAGGCGGCCUGAUAAGUCAGUGGUGAAAGCCCGUUGCUUAACAACGGAACUGCCAUUGAUACUGUCGGGCUUGAGUACAGUUGAGGUUGGCGGAAUGUAUCAUGUAGCGGUGAAAUGCUUAGAUAUGAUACAGAACACCGAUUGCGAAGGCAGCUGACUAAGCUGUUACUGACGCUCAGGCACGAAAGCGUGGGGAUCAAACAGGAUUAGAUACCCUGGUAGUCCACGCCGUAAACGUUGAUAACUCGAUGUUGGCGAUAUACAGUCAGCGUCUUAGCGAAAGCGUUAAGUUAUCCACCUGGGGAGUACGCCGGCAACGGUGAAACUCAAAGGAAUUGACGGA
RNAcentral lists this ribosomal RNA (580 nucleotides) under uncultured bacterium. RNAcentral describes it as "bacterial SSU rRNA". It matches the Rfam family "Bacterial small subunit ribosomal RNA", at positions 337 to 917 of the family's 1533-position model. The record is from RNAcentral.